This 305-nucleotide ribosomal RNA is filed under the name uncultured bacterium. RNAcentral describes it as "bacterial SSU rRNA". It matches the Rfam family "Bacterial small subunit ribosomal RNA", at positions 335 to 654 of the family's 1533-position model. The record is from RNAcentral.
UCCCCUACGGGGGGCAGCAGUGGGGAAUAUUGCACAAUGGGCGAAAGCCUGAUGCAGCAACGCCGCGUGAAGGAAGACGGUUUUCGGAUUGUAAACUUCUAUCAAUAGGGAAGAAAGAAAUGACGGUACCUAAAUAAGAAGCCCCGGCUAACUACGUGCCAGCAGCCGCGGUAAUACGUAGGUGGCAAGCGUUGUCCGGAAUUACUGGGUGUAAAGGGAGCGUAGGCGGGAAACCAAGUCAGCUGUGAAAACUACGGGCUUAACCUGUAGACUGCAGUUGAAACUGGCUUUCUUGAGUGAAGUAG